UCUAAACCAGUUUAUCACUUUCUCUAAUCCGGAAAAUCAUUUUUCUUAUCGAUUUCUCUUGGGACAAAUUCCGGAUAACCGGAUUGUCCAAAUCGGUGAGCCGCAUCAUCUUUGGUUGCUCUCGGAUCAAUAUUCGGAUAACCGGAUUAUCAAUCCGGAAAACCGGAUUCGCAUAUGGCAUUCACUGGAUUGAACCGGACAGCCGGUUAUGUAAAUCCGGAAAACCGGAUUCGAGUGAAGGACUUGCUGGUCACAACCGGAUUUCCGGUUCAAGCCUAACCGGCAAGCCGUUUACGGGUUUGGCUGAUUUUGUUUUGCUUCUCCUUCCUUCGUUAUUUUUCUGCACUUGUUCUUCCUCUCUCUCAAAACCGUGAGCCACCCUCUUCCAUUUCCAAUCAAUUCCUCUUCAUUUCUCAACCAUUUGUAUGCCAAGAUCAAUCUCUUAAACCAUUACCCAUGCAUUUCAUCUUCAUUAAACACUUCUCCAUCAUGAUUUCUUCACUUGUUUUUCAUCAUUUCAUCAUCAUCUCUCACGCGUGAACAGUAACUCUCCAUUUCUCUCUCAAAAUUCUUCAUCUUUCACUCAUUUUCUUGUAAAAAUCAAUCAUACAACUCAUUAUUCAUCCAUUACUCCUUCAAUUUUCGUUCUCAAAACUUCAUUUCAUCAACUCUCCACAUAAAACCCAAAAUCAAAAACCUAACUACCCGUUUCUCUCUCUAUAUUUUCAAGCUUCCUUUAGCCCAUUUUUUAUCCAAUCUACAUCAUAUAUUAGCUUCAUUCAUCUCUAGGAUCGAUUUUCUUGG
Molecule: long non-coding RNA, 804 nt
Filed under: Citrus sinensis (sweet orange)
Lineage: Eukaryota; Viridiplantae; Streptophyta; Magnoliopsida; Sapindales; Rutaceae
Description: long non-coding RNA (CSIN_LNC004209)
Source: RNAcentral